GAUUUCGCUCCACCCGAACUUUGACCCGAGAUCGAAGAUCAAAACCUCGGAUGAGAUGAAAAAGUCUUGAUAAGAAGAAAUUUUCUUCGGAGAACUUCGUGAUUAUCAGUUCGCUAAUAAUUACGAAGUUCCGGUUACGAAAACCAAUAACUUUUUUUGGAUCUGAGGGCUAAUGCUUUUUCUCGUCCACUUUUCUCUGGACUGUGAAGUAGGCCAGAUCGGCAAAAAUUUGUUUUCGCGCGUUAACUAGUACACAAAGUUUUUCCCUCCGAGUGCAAGAUAGUGCAUAUUGUUUUACUAGUGCGAUAUAAAUAUUGAAAAAGGAUUCUCGGAGGAGCCGAUCCACCUGCAACCCGUUAUCAGCCAGCCAGGGAAAGUGAACCCAACGCACCGAGCGAUCGUCAACCGCAUCUUAUCUCCAUCACGUGGUACGUUUCGACCAACAGAAGACACCGCAGGCGAAACGGCAUACGCGAGGCGGCAACUGUCCCUUUGGUUCUACGAGUGGCAUCCCGCAGACGACGCACGGCGAUUUUCCGGAGACUUUUCCGCUUCCGGUUAAAUCAGGUUUGAGCAACCAUCCAACCCGAGUGAGUACAUACAUAAUUGACACCAUCAUCGACAUUCUUCCGUUCUUCUCUAGAUCCUCAAUUGAGCGGCACUCACCAAGCCUACAGCAACAGCUCAGUUGG
Molecule: long non-coding RNA, 692 nt
Organism: Uranotaenia lowii
Lineage: Eukaryota; Metazoa; Arthropoda; Insecta; Diptera; Culicidae
Exons: 3
Source: RefSeq, a predicted model, not a curated record